Molecule: long non-coding RNA, 366 nt
Filed under: Setaria viridis
Lineage: Eukaryota; Viridiplantae; Streptophyta; Magnoliopsida; Poales; Poaceae
Description: long non-coding RNA (SVIR_LNC002950)
Source: RNAcentral
AAAUAUUGCUAUCAUUUAUGAAGGCAUAACUUGUAAGUUCAUAUUACUAUCUCCACCGUGCUGGUUACCUCCAUGCAUGUGCAAUCUUACUAUUAGUAAGUGGACAUUCCUUUUGAAGCCUCCACAUGACGCUACCUAUGAUCCUAGGUGGACACUCUAAAAAGAGAGAGAAAUUAUAAAUUUUUUUCAAAAAAGCAAAAACUCUUGCCAUCAACCAAGUAGACUCAAAUCAUCGUAGCUACUGGAUCUAUUAUUUUUUUCUAAAAAUUACCCACUUCCAUUAUGAAAAUAGGUUAAAGUAACCCCUAAAUCUAUAUUUGGAUCACCUACCUCUCCCAUUAAAUACAAUAAACUAAAGUAAUCCCC